CACUAACUCUGGCGGCAUGCCUAACACAUGCAAGUCGAACGAGACCUUCGGGUCUAGUGGCGCACGGGUGCGUAACGCGUGGGAACCUGCCCUUAGGUUCGGAAUAACUCCCCGAAAGGGGUGCUAAUACCGGAUAAUGUCUUCGGACCAAAGAUUUAUCGCCUUUGGAUGGGCCCGCGUUGGAUUAGCUAGUUGGUAGGGUAAAAGCCUACCAAGGCGACGAUCCAUAGCUGGUCUGAGAGGAUGAUCAGCCACACUGGGACUGAGACACGGCCCAGACUCCUACGGGAGGCAGCAGUGGGGAAUAUUGGACAAUGGGCGAAAGCCUGAUCCAGCAAUGCCGCGUGAGUGAUGAAGGCCUUAGGGUUGUAAAGCUCUUUUACCCGGGAUGAUAAUGACAGUACCGGGAGAAUAAGCUCCGGCUAACUCCGUG
RNAcentral lists this ribosomal RNA (433 nucleotides) under uncultured bacterium. RNAcentral describes it as "partial 16S ribosomal RNA". It matches the Rfam family "Bacterial small subunit ribosomal RNA", at positions 29 to 507 of the family's 1533-position model. The record is from RNAcentral.